UACGGGGGGGGCAAGCGUUGUUCGGAAUUACUGGGCGUAAAGGGCGCGUAGGCGGUGCUCUAAGUUAGAUGUGAAAACUCUGGGCUCAACCCAGAGCCUGCAUCUAAAACUGGAGUGCUAGAGUUCUGGAGGGGGUAGCGGAAUUCCUGGUGUAGCGGUGAAAUGCGUAGAGAUCUGGAGGAACACCGAUGGCGAAGGCAGCCCCCUGGGCUAACACUGACGCUCAUGCACGAAAGCGUGGGGAGCAAACAGG
RNAcentral lists this ribosomal RNA (253 nucleotides) under uncultured bacterium. RNAcentral describes it as "partial 16S ribosomal RNA". It matches the Rfam family "Bacterial small subunit ribosomal RNA", at positions 524 to 776 of the family's 1533-position model. The record is from RNAcentral.